RNAcentral lists this ribosomal RNA (431 nucleotides) under uncultured bacterium. RNAcentral's name for it is "bacterial SSU rRNA". It matches the Rfam family "Bacterial small subunit ribosomal RNA", at positions 917 to 1344 of the family's 1533-position model. The record is from RNAcentral.
GGACCCGCACAAGUAGUGGAGCAUGUGGUUUAAUUCGAAGAUACGCGCAGAACCUUACCAACACUUGACAUGUUCGUCGCGACUUUAAGAGAUUAAAGUUUUCGGUUCGGCCGGACGAAACACAGGUGCUGCAUGGCUGUCGUCAGCUCGUGUCGUGAGAUGUUGGGUUAAGUCCCGCAACGAGCGCAACCCCCAUUUCUAGUUGCCAGCGGUUCGGCCGGGGACUCUAGAGAAACUGCCAGCGUAAGCUGUGAGGAAGGUGGGGAUGACGUCAAAUCAUCACGGCCCUUACAUCCUGGGCUACACACGUACUACAAUGCUACGGACAAAGGGCAGCAAGUUCGCGAGGACAAGCAAAUCCCAUAAACCGUGGCUCAGUUCAGAUCGUAGGCUGCAACUCGCCUACGUGAAGGCGGAAUCGCUAGUAAUCG